UACGGAGGGUGCAAGCGUUGUUCGGAAUUACUGGGCGUAAAGCGCGUGCAGGCGGCCGACUAAGUCCGGUGUGAAAGCCCGGGGGCUCACCCCCGGAAGUGCGCUGGAAACUAGGUCGGCUAGAGUACGGGAGAGGGAAGCGGAAUUCCUGGUGUAGCGGUGAAAUGCGUAGAUAUCAGGAGGAACACCGGCGGCGAAGGCGGCUUCCUGGACCGAUACUGACGCUGAGACGCGAAAGCGUGGGGAGCAAACAGGAUUAGAUACCCGAGUAGU
Molecule: ribosomal RNA, 273 nt
Filed under: uncultured bacterium
Lineage: Bacteria
Description: partial 16S ribosomal RNA
Rfam family: Bacterial small subunit ribosomal RNA
Source: RNAcentral